GGGCGGUUAGCUCAGUUGGUAGAGCGUGUCUUUGACGUAGACAAGGCCACAAGUUCAAAUCUUGUACCGCCCACCA
RNAcentral lists this transfer RNA (76 nucleotides) under Candidatus Nomurabacteria bacterium RIFCSPHIGHO2_01_FULL_38_19. RNAcentral's name for it is "tRNA-Val". It matches the Rfam family "tRNA". Rfam says of the family: Transfer RNA (tRNA) molecules are approximately 80 nucleotides in length. Lineage: Bacteria; Candidatus Nomuraibacteriota. The record is from RNAcentral.